Molecule: ribosomal RNA, 405 nt
Filed under: uncultured bacterium
Lineage: Bacteria
Description: partial 16S ribosomal RNA
Rfam family: Bacterial small subunit ribosomal RNA
Source: RNAcentral
GACGAACGCUGGCGGCGUGCUUAACACAUGCAAGUCGAACGAGUGGCGAACGGGUGAGUAACACGUGGGUGAUCUGCCUUGCACUUCGGGAUAAGCUUGGGAAACUGGGUCUAAUACCGGAUAGUGCAAGAUGAGCUCGCGGCCUAUCAGCUUGUUGGUGGGGUAAUGGCUACCAAGGCGCGACGGGUAGCCGGCCUGAGAGGGUGUACGGCCACAUUGGGACUGAGAUACGGCCCAGACUCCUACGGGAGGCAGCAGUGGGGAAUCUUCCGCAAUGGACGAAAGUCUGACGGAGCAACGCCGCGUGAGUGAUGACGGCCUUCGGGUUGUAAAGCUCUGUUAAUCGGGACGCGGUACCGGAAUAGAAAGCCACGGCUAACUACGUGCCAGCAGCCGCGGUAAUAC